CAUCUCCUCAAGAAUAAAUUUGAGGUAUAGCCUGCUCUAUGAAUUUUUUUAAAUGGCCGCGGUAUUUUGACCGUGCGAAGGUAGCAUAAUCAUUAGUCUUUUAAUUGGAGGCUGGUAUGAAUGGCUGGACGAGAAAAUUUCUGUCUCUGUUAUAAAAUUUGAAUUUUAUUUUUAAGUGAAAAAGCUUAAAUUUGUUUGAGGGACGAUAAGACCCUAUGGAUCUUUAUAAUGAUAUAUAGUAAAAAGCUUAGGUGUGACAGCUUACUGUUUUAAAUUAUUGGGUUGGGGCGACCGGAAGAAAAAAAUAUCUCUUCUUUAAUAAUAUAAUUUUUUUAGAAAUAAAAUGACCCUGAAUUUUGGUUUAAAAGACUAAGUUACCCUAGGGAUAACAGCGUAAUCUUUUUGGAGAGUUCAUAUCGAUAAAAAGGUUUGCGACCUCGAUGUUGGAUUAAGAGAUCCUUGCGGCGCAGCCGUUGUAAAGGAGAGUCUGUUCGACUUUUAAAUUCUUACGUGAUCUGA
RNAcentral lists this ribosomal RNA (519 nucleotides) under Triops longicaudatus. RNAcentral describes it as "partial 16S ribosomal RNA". It matches the Rfam family "Bacterial large subunit ribosomal RNA", at positions 1827 to 2608 of the family's 2925-position model. Lineage: Eukaryota; Metazoa; Arthropoda; Branchiopoda; Notostraca; Triopsidae. The record is from RNAcentral.